GACGAACGCUGGCGGCGUGCUUAACACAUGCAAGUCGAACGGAAAGGCCCUGCUUUUGUGGGGUGCUCGAGUGGCGAACGGGUGAGUAACACGCGAGUAACCUGCCCUUGACUUUGGGAUAACUCCAGGGAACUGGGGCUAAUACAGGAUAUGAGCUCCUGAUGCAUGGGGGGGGUGGGAAAGUUUCGGCGGUUGGGGAUGGACUCGCGGCUUAUCAGCUUGUUGGUGGGGUAGUGGCUUACCAAGGCUUUGACGGGUAGCCGGCCUGGGAGGGUGACCGGCCACAUUGGGACUGGGGUAGGGCCCAGACUCCUACGGGAGGCAGCAGUGGGAAAUAUUGCACAAUGGGCGGAAGCCUGAUGCAGCAACGCCGCGUGCGGGAUGACGGCCUUCGGGUUGUAAACCGCUUUCGCCUGUGACGAAGCGUGAGUGACGGUAAUGGGUAAAGAAGCACCGGCUAACUACGUG
RNAcentral lists this ribosomal RNA (468 nucleotides) under uncultured bacterium. Its description in RNAcentral is "partial 16S ribosomal RNA". It matches the Rfam family "Bacterial small subunit ribosomal RNA", at positions 28 to 507 of the family's 1533-position model. The record is from RNAcentral.